CCUACGGGCGGCAGCAGUGAGGAAUAUUGGUCAAUGGACGAGAGUCUGAACCAGCCAAGUAGCGUGAAGGAUGACUGCCCUAUGGGUUGUAAACUUCUUUUAUAUGGGAAUAAAACGUUCCACGUGUGGGAUUUUGUAUGUACCAUAUGAAUAAGGAUCGGCUAACUCCGUGCCAGCAGCCGCGGUAAUACGGAGGAUCCGAGCGUUAUCCGGAUUUAUUGGGUUUAAAGGGAGCGUAGGUGGAUUGUUAAGUCAGUUGUGAAAGUUUGCGGCUUAACCGUAAAAUUGCAGUUGAAACUGGCAGUCUUGAGUACAGUAGAGGUGGGCGGAAUUCGUGGUGUAGCGGUGAAAUGCUUAGAUAUCACGAAGAACUCCGAUUGCGAAGGCAGUUCACUGGACUGCAACUGACACUGAGGCUCGAAAGUGUGGGUAUCAAACAGGAUUAGAUACCCCAGUAGUC
RNAcentral lists this ribosomal RNA (460 nucleotides) under uncultured bacterium. RNAcentral's name for it is "partial 16S ribosomal RNA". It matches the Rfam family "Bacterial small subunit ribosomal RNA", at positions 338 to 795 of the family's 1533-position model. The record is from RNAcentral.